AAAAAAGGUAAGCUACUAAGAGCGAAUGGUGGAUGCCUUGACUGGUAAAGGCGAUGAAGGACGUACUAGACUGCGAUAAGCUACGGGGAGCUGUCAAGAAGCUUUGAUCCGUAGAUUUCCGAAUGGGGCAACCCAAUGUAUAGAGAUAUACAUUACCUAUAUAGGAGCGAACGAGGGGAAUUGAAACAUCUUAGUACCCUCAGGAAAAGAAAUCAAUAGAGAUUGCGUCAGUAGCGGCGAGCGAAAGCGCAAGAGGGCAAACCCAGUGCUUGCACUGGGGGUUGUAGGACUGCAAUGUGCAAGAGGUGAGUUUAGCAGAACAUUCUGGAAAGUAUAGCCAUAGAGGGUGAUAGUCCCGUAUGCGAAAAACAAACCUUAGCUAGCAGUAUCCUGAGUAGGGCGGGACACGAGAAAUCCUGUCUGAAGCUGGGUCGACCACGAUCCAACCCUAAAUACUAAUACCAGAUCGAUAGUGCACAAGUACCGUGAGGGAAAGGUGAAAAGAACUGAGGUGAUCAGAGUGAAAUAGAACCUGAAACCAUUUGCUUACAAUCAUUCAGAGCCCUAUGUAGCAAUACAGGGUGAUGGACUGCCUUUUGCAUAAUGAGCCUGCGAGUUGUGGUGUCUGGCAAGGUUAAGCAAACGCGAAGCCGUAGCGAAAGCGAGUCUGAAUAGGGCGCUUAGUCAGAUGCUGCAGACCCGAAACGAAGUGAUCUAUCCAUGAGCAAGUUGAAGCUAGUGUAAGAACUAGUGGAGGACUGAACCCAUAGGCGUUGAAAAGCCCCGGGAUGACUUGUGGAUAGGGGUGAAAGGCCAAUCAAACUUCGUGAUAGCUGGUUCUCUCCGAAAUAUAUUUAGGUAUAGCGUUGUGUCGUAAUAUAAGGGGGUAGAGCACUGAAUGGGCUAGGGCAUACACCAAUGUACCAAACCCUAUCAAACUCCGAAUACCUUAUAUGUAAUCACAGCAGUCAGGCGGCGAGUGAUAAAAUCCGUCGUCAAGAGGGAAACAACCCAGACUACCAGCUAAGGUCCCUAAAUCUUACUUAAGUGGAAAACGAUGUGAAGUUACUUAAACAACCAGGAGGUUGGCUUAGAAGCAGCCAUCCUUUAAAGAAAGCGUAAUAGCUCACUGGUCUAGUGAUUUUGCGCGGAAAAUAUAACGGGGCUAAAGUAAGUACCGAAGCUGUAGACUUGCGCACAACUUAGAUUAUUUAAGUUUAGAAUAUGAGAAACUAAGUUAUAUGUUUAGUUAUAUUUUUACUGAUUUUUAUAGAGUAAAGAUAGAAAUAAAACUUAGUAAAAUCAGUAAAAAUAUUCUUAGACUAAAGUUAAGUAGUUUAAGUUGUGUGCAAGUGGUAGGAGAGCGUUCUAUUUGCGUCGAAGGUAUACCGGUAAGGAGUGCUGGAGCGAAUAGAAGUGAGCAUGCAGGCAUGAGUAGCGAUAAUUAAUGUGAGAAUCAUUAACGCCGUAAACCCAAGGUUUCCUACGCGAUGCUCGUCAUCGUAGGGUUAGUCGGGUCCUAAGUCGAGUCCGAAAGGGGUAGACGAUGGCAAAUUGGUUAAUAUUCCAAUACCAACAUUAGUGUGCGAUGGAAGGACGCUUAGGGCUAAGGGGGCUAGCGGAUGGAAGUGCUAGUCUAAGGUCGUAGGAGGUUAUACAGGCAAAUCCGUAUAACAAUACUCCGAGAACUGAAAGGCUUUUUGAAGUCUUCGGAUGGAUAGAA
This 1723-nucleotide ribosomal RNA is filed under the name Campylobacter coli. RNAcentral describes it as "partial 23S ribosomal RNA". It matches the Rfam family "Bacterial large subunit ribosomal RNA", at positions 1 to 1606 of the family's 2925-position model. The record is from RNAcentral. Lineage: Bacteria; Pseudomonadati; Campylobacterota; Epsilonproteobacteria; Campylobacterales; Campylobacteraceae.